This 87-nucleotide transfer RNA is filed under the name Marinospirillum celere. RNAcentral describes it as "tRNA_Leu_CAG". It matches the Rfam family "tRNA". From Rfam's summary of the family: Transfer RNA (tRNA) molecules are approximately 80 nucleotides in length. Their secondary structure includes four short double-helical elements and three loops (D, anti-codon, and T loops). Further hydrogen bonds mediate the characteristic L-shaped molecular structure. tRNAs have two regions of fundamental functional importance: the anti-codon, which is responsible for specific mRNA codon recognition, and the 3' end, to which the tRNAs corresponding amino acid is attached (by aminoacyl-tRNA synthetases). tRNAs cope with the degeneracy of the genetic code in two manners: having more than one tRNA (with a specific anti-codon) for a particular amino acid; and 'wobble' base-pairing, i.e. permitting non-standard base-pairing at the 3rd anti-codon position. The record is from RNAcentral. Lineage: Bacteria; Pseudomonadati; Pseudomonadota; Gammaproteobacteria; Oceanospirillales; Oceanospirillaceae.
GCCCAGGUGGCGGAAUUGGUAGACGCGCUGGUUUCAGGUAUCAGUGACCGAAAGGUCGUGGAAGUUCGAGUCUUCUCCUGGGCACCA